Molecule: non-coding RNA, 117 nt
Organism: Pelobates cultripes (western spadefoot toad)
Lineage: Eukaryota; Metazoa; Chordata; Amphibia; Anura; Pelobatidae
Source: the annotation of a GenBank genome assembly
UAGUGACAGAGUGAGAGAGAGGGUGACUAGUGACAGAGUGAGGGAUGGGGUGACUAGGGACAGUCACCCCCUCUCUCACUCUGUCACUAGUCACCCCCUCUCUCGCUCUGUCAUUAG